Ribosomal RNA from Danio rerio (zebrafish), 117 nucleotides. The record is from Ensembl. NCBI's taxonomy places the organism in Eukaryota, Metazoa, Chordata, Actinopteri, Cypriniformes, Danionidae.
UGCCACAGCCAUAUCACCCUGCAGCCCAAGACCAGUUACUUACUGAAGCUAAGCAGGGCUGAGCCUGGUCAGGGCCUAAACGGGAGACCACAUGGGAAAACUAGGUUGCUGCUGGAA